This 194-nucleotide ribosomal RNA is filed under the name uncultured Funneliformis. RNAcentral describes it as "partial 18S ribosomal RNA". It matches the Rfam family "Eukaryotic small subunit ribosomal RNA", at positions 569 to 766 of the family's 1831-position model. Lineage: Eukaryota; Fungi; Glomeromycota; Glomeromycetes; Glomerales; Glomeraceae. The record is from RNAcentral.
AGCAGCCGCGGUAAUUCCAGCUCCAAUAGCGUAUAUUAAAGUUGUUGCGGUUAAAAAGCUCGUAGUUGGAUUUCUGUUGAGGACGAUCGGUCCGCCUUCUGGGUGAGUAUCUGGCUCGGCCUUGGCAUCUUCUUGGAGCACGUACUGCACUUCACUGUGUGGUGCGGAAUCCAGGACCUUUACUUUGAGGAAAU